GCAGUUGCGACGGGGGACCCCAAGUGCCACUCUUAACGGGGUGGCUUUUCAGAAGUGUAAAAAGCUUCUGGAAUAAGGGCUGGGCAAGACCGGUGCCAGCCGCCGCGGUAACACCGGCAGCUCAAGUGGUAGCCGCUUUUAUUGGGCCUAAAGCGUCCGUAGCCGGUCUGAUAAGUCUCUGGUGAAAUCCCACAGCUUAACUGUGGGAAUUGCUGGAGAUACUAUCAUGACUCGAGGUCGGGAGAGGCUGGAGGUACUCCCAGGGUAGGGGUGAAAUCCUGUAAUCCUGGGAGGACCACCUGUG
RNAcentral lists this ribosomal RNA (304 nucleotides) under uncultured Methanothermobacter sp. Its description in RNAcentral is "bacterial SSU rRNA". It matches the Rfam family "Archaeal small subunit ribosomal RNA", at positions 361 to 665 of the family's 1478-position model. The record is from RNAcentral. Lineage: Archaea; Methanobacteriati; Methanobacteriota; Methanobacteria; Methanobacteriales; Methanobacteriaceae.